GAAAUGCGAUACUUGGUGUGAAUUGCAGAAUCCCGUGAACCAUCGAGUCUUUGAACGCAAGUUGCGCCCGAUGCCAUUAGGUUGAGGGCACGUCUGCCUGGGUGUCACAUAUCGAAGCCUCCUUGACUAUUCUGCAGGGUGGAUGUUGGCCUCCCAUGAGCUCUUUUGUCUCAUGGUUGGUUGAAAAUUGAGACCUUGGUAGGGUGUGCCAUGAUAGAUGGUGGUUGUGUGACCCACGAGACCAAUCAUGCGCUUCUCUAUUGAAUUCGGCCUCUUUUACCCAUAUGCGUUUUUAAACGCUCGUGAUGAGACCUCAGGUCAGGCGGGACUACCCGCUGAAUUUAA
This 345-nucleotide unclassified non-coding RNA is filed under the name uncultured fungus. Its description in RNAcentral is "sequence contains ITS1". The stretch from base 1 to 107 matches the Rfam family "5.8S ribosomal RNA", at positions 50 to 154 of the family's 154-position model. Lineage: Eukaryota; Fungi. The record is from RNAcentral.